AGGACGAACGCUGGCGGCGUGCUUAACACAUGCAAGUCGAGCGGAAAGGCCCUUCGGGGUACUCGAGCGGCGAACGGGUGAGUAACACGUGAGCAACCUGCCCUUAGCUCCGGGAUAGCUCCGGGAAACCGGAAUUAAAUACCGGAUACGACCACGGCCGACAUCUGCUGUGGUGGAAAGGAUUCCGGCUAAGGAUGGGCUCGCGGCCUAUCAGCUAGUUGGUGGGGUAAUGGCCCACCAAGGCGACGACGGGUA
RNAcentral lists this ribosomal RNA (255 nucleotides) under uncultured bacterium. RNAcentral describes it as "partial small subunit ribosomal RNA". It matches the Rfam family "Bacterial small subunit ribosomal RNA", at positions 26 to 285 of the family's 1533-position model. The record is from RNAcentral.